RNAcentral lists this transfer RNA (96 nucleotides) under Chloroflexi bacterium RBG_16_54_18. RNAcentral describes it as "tRNA-Sec". It matches the Rfam family "Selenocysteine transfer RNA". Lineage: Bacteria; Bacillati; Chloroflexota. The record is from RNAcentral.
GGAGUGGUAGGGUCCCGGUGGGCUCCCCGGUCUUCAAAACCGGUGACGGGUCGCGUUGCGGGCCGUGGUGGGUUCGACUCCCAUCCGCUCCCGCCA